This 253-nucleotide ribosomal RNA is filed under the name uncultured bacterium. RNAcentral's name for it is "partial 16S ribosomal RNA". It matches the Rfam family "Bacterial small subunit ribosomal RNA", at positions 524 to 776 of the family's 1533-position model. The record is from RNAcentral.
UACGUAGGUGGCAAGCGUUGUCCGGAAUUAUUGGGCGUAAAGCGCGCGCAGGCGGUCCCUUAAGUCUGAUGUGAAAGCCCACGGCUCAACCGUGGAGGGUCAUUGGAAACUGGGGGACUUGAGUGCAGAAGAGGAAAGUGGAAUUCCAUGUGUAGCGGCGAAAUGCGUAGAGAUGUGGAGGAACACCAGUGGCGAAGGCGACUUUCUGGUCUGUAACUGACGCUGAGGCGCGAAAGCGUGGGGAGCAAACAGG